Pseudophryne corroboree (corroboree frog) is the source of this 622-nucleotide long non-coding RNA. RefSeq lists it as uncharacterized. The record is from RefSeq and is a predicted model, not a curated record. NCBI's taxonomy places the organism in Eukaryota, Metazoa, Chordata, Amphibia, Anura, Myobatrachidae. The transcript is spliced from 2 exons.
GAGCAGGGUAAGUGUAGUCCCUGAGCCCCUCAGCCAUGGUCAAUUCGAGGGGGGAGUGUGAUCACUGUGAUCACAAUCCGCCCACCCACCCAUAUAGGAACAAUAACAUUAGCAGCAGCCACUCUGCCCCACUGCAGCACAGCACACUGUGCAGCAUGUGCUGUGCUGCCAACACGAGAGCUGCUGCUGCUGCCCAGUAAGGUGGGAGGGGGUUAGGAGUGCAGGGGACCAGGGCCCUUCCAUCAGUGCCAGGCCCAAGUAAUUAGUACCCGCUCCCUCCCCCUCUCUGGGUCACUGACAACAUCCUACAGAGCCACUGGAGUAACGGAGCCUGUGAGAAACCGGAGAAGAAGGGAGAGGAGGAGCAGCGCCUGAGCCGGGACCUCCUGCAGGCAGAACCAACUACACCAAAUUGAAAGUUACUUUUAGGGAAGAAAAAGAACGAUGAAAGAAGAAAUUGCGGGAUGUUGGAACUAUUAAUGCUGUGUUGGAACGUUUAAUGUAUUUUUUUACAUUUUCAAAAAUGUCAUUUAAUUACAUCUUAUUCUUUUGACAUUAACUUCAUGUUGUUGAUCAGGAAAAUGGUAAUAAAAAUGGUCCUGAGACGGACGCCAUGCCAAUA